RNAcentral lists this ribosomal RNA (253 nucleotides) under uncultured bacterium. RNAcentral's name for it is "partial 16S ribosomal RNA". It matches the Rfam family "Bacterial small subunit ribosomal RNA", at positions 524 to 776 of the family's 1533-position model. The record is from RNAcentral.
UACGAAGGGGGCUAGCGUUGUUCGGAUUUACUGGGCGUAAAGCGCACGUAGGCGGAUCUUUAAGUCAGAGGUGAAAUCCCAAGGCUCAACCUUGGAACUGCCUUUGAUACUGGGGAUCUCGAGUCCGGGAGAGGUGAGUGGAACUGCGAGUGUAGAGGUGAAAUUCGUAGAUAUUCGCAAGAACACCAGUGGCGAAGGCGGCUCACUGGCCCGAUACUGACGCUGAGGCACGAAAGCGUGGGGAGCAAACAGG